RNAcentral lists this long non-coding RNA (1712 nucleotides) under Mus musculus (house mouse). RNAcentral's name for it is "long non-coding RNA chr12:111064947-111066659". The record is from RNAcentral. Lineage: Eukaryota; Metazoa; Chordata; Mammalia; Rodentia; Muridae.
GGUAGAAGAGGCAAAGUGUUUGGUAUUUGCCUUUAGUAGGGGAGGUAAGCAGGGUAGUUUAAAAUUACAACUCCAAGAUUAUGAACUCUUCUGUGGUAAAAUAGCUAGUCUUGUUUAGGCUCUAGUCUUACUUGCAGUAAUUGAUUAAAUGUUUGAAAUGGAAGGGGAAUAAUUGAAAUAAUUUUCUGAAAGCCUAUCCCCUUAGAUAUUAAGUUGUGGUGUGUGUAGAUUUAAUGUGACAGUUGCCAUGACCCAGUGUGUACAUAGGAUCUCAAAGUGGUCUUUCCCAGUUCUCCCGUCUUAGAUGUGAGUGACUAGUCCGGAGGCCUGUGGAUGUUAAGAUACCUGUUUCUUUAUUUGGUUAAAUCUGUUGAAUUAUAAUUUUUGAGUGGGUAAUAAUACUAUUGAUGGAGAGAUGACUUGAUUUCAGAAAGCAUACAUAGCGUGGAUUGUGGUUACUGGGAACUGAACCUAGGUCCUCUGCAAGAUCAAGUGCUCUUACCCACUGAGCCAUCUCUGCUGCUCCAGUAACUACUGGUUUUUAUUUGGUGCCCACAUUACUCCAAAUGUGACCCUUGAAGAUAACGUCCUUUUCAGAAGUUAUGCUGAACUUCAGGUUUUGCAUGCGUCAUUGCUUGUUAGUGUAUUUAUCUUAUGUUUUCCUAUGCAUUCCUGAUAUCAGUUAUUUCUGUAAGGAGCAGUCGUUUCUUUUAUAGUGGAGAUGAGUUACUAGAGAAACCAAGAUCUGCUGAGUGUGGUGGCGCAUGCCUUUAAACCCAGCACUCGGGAGGCAGAGGCAGGUGGAUAUCUGAGUUCGAGGCCAGCCUGGUCUACAGAGUGAGUUCCAGGGCAGCCAGGGCUACAAAGAGAAACCCUGUCUCGAAAAACUAAAAAAAAAAAAAAGAAAAAAGAAAAAAAAAGAAAUCAAGAUCUGAGCAUCAGAUAGGAACAUAUGCUGUCAGGGUGUUGAUGGUCUAUCUCUCUCUUAGGGCAGAGCCUGUAAGGAGUAUGUGCACACGUCCAGUCAUCUCACACACUUAGAAGCUGGGAGUCCCCACCAUGCUGCUGUCUUGAUUCAGAGCCUUAGUGUUUAUGAACUGCCUUCUCUGUUUAUUUGUAGCACCUGCCUCUGCUUCUCUCUUUACAUUAAAAAUAAAAAGAUCUAUCUGUGUGCAUUGAGUGCAGUGCCUGCAGAGGUCAGGGGUCAGAUCCCUGGGAGCUGUAAGCCAGCUGGGUGGGUGCUGGGAAUUGAACUCGGAGCCUCAAGAUGAGCAGUGUGUUCUCCUAGCCACUGAGCCAUCUCUUGCCCACUUCUGUAGUUCUCACUAGUCAGUUUUGUUGAGUUGGUUUUUGUUGUAGUUUUGUUUGUUUGUUUUGUUUUAAUCUCCUGUAACAAAGGCUGUCUUCAAACUCAGCAAGUAUCUUUGGCCUUGAACUCUUGAUCCUCUCUCUUCUCUCCAGCUCUCUGAUGGCAUGACUACAGGCAGGAGCCACCAAGCCUGGCUAUUUAUCCCUAAUAGACUUACUUACUUGGUUACUCAAAACUUGCUUUGGAUAUGGGAUUCAGGAGCAGGAUGAAAGGAAAGAGAAUUCCUAGGCUAAUGAGAGUGCACUAGUUAUGCAGACAGCUACCAGCCACUCCCCAUGGGUGAGUGAGUAAAUCCAGGUGUUGAUGUGAAUUUGGGGAUAAGAAAACAAAAAACUGAGCAAGC